UCCGGAGGGUGCAAGCGUUAUCCGGAUUUACUGGGUUUAAAGGGUGCGUAGGUGGAUUGGUGAGUCAGUGGUGAAAUACUUUCGCUUAACGAAGGAACUGCCAUUGAUACUACCAGUCUUGAAUACAGUGGAGGUGGGCGGAAUGCGUCAUGUAGCGGUGAAAUGCUUAGAUAUGACGCAGAACACCAAUUGCGAAGGCAGCUUGCUACACUGUUAUUGACACUGAGGCACGAAAGCGUGGGGAUCAAACAGG
This 253-nucleotide ribosomal RNA is filed under the name uncultured bacterium. RNAcentral describes it as "partial 16S ribosomal RNA". It matches the Rfam family "Bacterial small subunit ribosomal RNA", at positions 524 to 776 of the family's 1533-position model. The record is from RNAcentral.